RNAcentral lists this long non-coding RNA (759 nucleotides) under Olea europaea (common olive). RNAcentral's name for it is "long non-coding RNA (OEUR_LNC008738)". Lineage: Eukaryota; Viridiplantae; Streptophyta; Magnoliopsida; Lamiales; Oleaceae. The record is from RNAcentral.
CCCUUCUUUUUUCAUACAACCAAAGUCAGAAAUUUUCACUUACAUAAAGGGUUUAAAGGAGCCAAAAAUGGGGGAAAAUUCAAAUGAUUACGUAACCUAAAUAAAGAAAGACACUGAAAUCUCCCUUGUAUGACAAAAUUUCCACACUCACGCUUACAAACCCCAAAUAAAUAAGACAGGAAAAUUCUAGAUUCAAGAAGCCCUAAUAAUAAAUUUUUAUUUUUCUGUUAAAAAUAUAAAAUUAAGAGAAAUGGGCAACAAAAAUCCUAUAAGAAAAAUCCUUAAACUACACAAAAGUAACUACAUAUACAUCAACUAGAUGCUCAAAAGAAAAAAACAGGGGAGAAUUUUUAUUUUUUUAAAAAAAAAAAAAAUUCACUGUAUAAUAUCAAAAUUUUGCAAAACAUAUGAAUAAAAAAGAAAAAUUCCAACAAAAUUAAUAAUUAUAUACCAGCAAGACAAGGCAGGCAAGAGAUUUUUGAGCAGCCAAAAUGGUUUGAACCGCUAUUGCUUCCACAAAUGAGCAGGCUAUUAGCUCCUCUUUCAUAGCACUUACAUUAGAGUUCAAUUUACUAACCUCCAUUUUGCCCAAGAAUUGCCUAAAAUUACAGUAAAAAAACAGAGGUUUAAGAGAGAGAAACUAUGAAGGCUUUUUUAGAGAGAGGAUUCUAGGGUAGGGCUUAUUUUCGAUUUAUGUCCAAAGGGCUGUAUUGGGAAAACGAAAUUUUUCAAGAAGGGUAUAUAUGAACGACUUCCAAU